AUUGAACGCUGGCGGCAGGCCUAACACAUGCAAGUCGAGCGGAUGAAGGGAGCUUGCUCCUGGAUUCAGCGGCGGACGGGUGAGUAAUGCCUAGGAAUCUGCCUGGUAGUGGGGGAUAACGUCCGGAAACGGGCGCUAAUACCGCAUACGUCCUGAGGGAGAAAGUGGGGGAUCUUCGGACCUCACGCUAUCAGAUGAGCCUAGGUCGGAUUAGCUAGUUGGUGGGGUAAAGGCCUACCAAGGCGACGAUCCGUAACUGGUCUGAGAGGAUGAUCAGUCACACGUGAACUGAGACACGGUCCAGACUCCUACGGGAGGCAGCAGUGGGGAAUAUUGGACGAUGGGCGAAAGCCUGAUCCAGCCAUGCCGCGUGUGUGAAGAAGGUCUUCGGAUUGUAAAGCACUUUAAGUUGGGAGGAAGGGCAGUAAGUUAAUACCUUGCUGUUUUGACGUUACCAACAGAAUAAGCACCGGCUAACUUCGUG
This 484-nucleotide ribosomal RNA is filed under the name uncultured bacterium. RNAcentral describes it as "partial 16S ribosomal RNA". It matches the Rfam family "Bacterial small subunit ribosomal RNA", at positions 30 to 507 of the family's 1533-position model. The record is from RNAcentral.